This 90-nucleotide non-coding RNA is filed under the name Metapseudomonas resinovorans NBRC 106553. The record is from RNAcentral. Lineage: Bacteria; Pseudomonadati; Pseudomonadota; Gammaproteobacteria; Pseudomonadales; Pseudomonadaceae.
CUCAAUGGCGGGCCGUGCAGGGAAGGCCAAGGCCUUGCCGGGUUUUCCUCGCGUAACCGGUUUGCGACCCCUGCACGGUCCGCCGCCCAU